CCUACGGGAGGCAGCAGUAGGGAAUUUUCCGCAAUGGGCGAAAGCCUGACGGAGCAAUACCGCGUGAGGGAUGACUGCCUAUGGGUUGUAAACCUCUUUUUUCAGGGAGGAAUAAAUGACGUGUACCUGAAGAAUAAGCAUCGGCUAACUCCGUGCCAGCAGCCGCGGUAAGACGGAGGAUGCAAGUGUUAUCCGGAAUCACUGGGCGUAAAGCGUCUGUAGGUGGCUCAACAAGUCAACUGUUAAAUCUUGAAGCUCAACUUCAAAAUCGCAGUCGAAACUAUUGAACUAGAGUAUAGUAGAGGUAAAGGGAAUUUCCAGUGGAGCGGUGAAAUGCGUAGAGAUUGGAAAGAACACCAAUGGCGAAGGCACUUUACUGGGCUAUUACUGACACUCAGAGACGAAAGCUAGGGUAGCAAAUGGGAUUAGAUACCCCAGUAGUCCUAGCCGUAAACAAUGGAUACUAGGUGUUGAACAGAUCGACCUGUGCAGUACUAAAGCUAACGCGUUAAGUAUCCCGCCUGGGAAGUAUGCACGCAAGUGUGAAACUCAAAGGAAUUGACGGCUGAGAGNGCGACGACGACGACGAGGGAGAGG
This 597-nucleotide ribosomal RNA is filed under the name uncultured bacterium. RNAcentral's name for it is "bacterial SSU rRNA". It matches the Rfam family "Bacterial small subunit ribosomal RNA", at positions 338 to 950 of the family's 1533-position model. The record is from RNAcentral.